Molecule: ribosomal RNA, 777 nt
Filed under: Triticum aestivum (bread wheat)
Lineage: Eukaryota; Viridiplantae; Streptophyta; Magnoliopsida; Poales; Poaceae
Description: partial small subunit ribosomal RNA
Source: RNAcentral
AUGUUAGCCAACUACAGCGGCUGGGUCGAGGUGCGUAAUCGUUGUCGUCAGCACCGUCAAGACGAGGCACCCUCCGUCAGUCGGCCCGUCCGCCCCAAGCUUUGGAUUCCUAGAUGGCUGGUGGGCAGAUGCUUUAGGUGCCUGGACUCGGGUCACAAUAAAGCGGAGUGCUUUGGGGAGAUUCGAUGCCAUCGUUGCUGGGAAUCCGGUCACAUCGCCCGUGAUUGUCCGCCACGCCCAGACUCGUCGCAAGCGCCGCCCCGCCCCCCACCCCGCCGCCCGCCGCCUCCAGUCACCCGCGCUCUGCUUGCCACGGUGAGGGGGAGGCGGCCUGCGGUUUCGCCCGAGGCCUUGGUCCAGUCCCUGACUCGAAUCUGCGGGGUGGAAAGGCGGCAUGUCAGGGUCGAGGUCACCCACCCCGCCGAUUUCUUCAUCACGUUCGCCUCCAACGCGGAUUGUGACAGGGUGUUCUCCUUCUCUGGCAAGCUGCGCUGCGCGGGGGCACCCAUUGCCUUCCGGCGAUGGCACAGGAGUGCGCUUGCAUCGAGCGGCAAGCUCGGUUUCUUCUGCAAGCUCGGGAUCGAGGGCUUGCCGGCGAGCGCCUGGGAAUGCGGGGCCAUCACCCAGCUCAUCAACAACCUGAACGGCCAGCUUGUUGAGAUAUUGCCUCCGGAGGACCGUUGGCAACUGGAGGUCACUGCAUGGAUGCGCAACCCGUUGGGCAUCCCGAAGAUUUAUGAUCUGGAGGUGCCGGAGCCGGUUGGCCUGAUGGAUUCG